GCUCGGCCGCCCGGUACCCGCGUCCCACAGCUGGGUGGCGGCGGCACCACAGCACCAGGCUGCCCGGCGCACCCAUCCUUGGGGGCUAAGGCACAGCGGGGAAUGGCGUCGGCUCCGUACUGAGAGACUCGGGGAGGCUUUAGGAGGAUGCUACGGGAUUUCGGGGUAGGCUGUGGGAGGGUCUGGGACUCCCUCUGCAGGGUCAGAGGGCUUCGCACCGUGCCAUCUGCGGGCCCAGCCCACUCCAGAGACUGGGCGGCUCCACAGGGGAGGCCCCACGGCCCAGGAACCGGGAAGCCCCCCUGCGCCGUAAGCCCAGAACUGGGCUGGAACCGGGUCCCCACUCCUCGCUGUCCGGCCGAGAGCAGGAGACAGCUCCGCCGCCACAGCCCCAGCGGACGACAACACAAACAUUCUUCCGUCCUCUAUUCUCCUCCAAAUUAGGUAUCCAUGGAGACAGGGCCGGCAGCCUGACAGCCCUACGGCCUAAUCCUGAUUUAGUGACCGUCCCUUUAACAGCCCACCCACCCGUCCACCCACCCCUGCGUUCCGGGCUGCCGCUGGGCGCAGGGUCCAGGCCGCGCUCUCUGCCCCGCGCAGACCCCUUCCCAGACCUCCUCCUCCGGCGGGGGCAGGGGGACCAGAGGGGCUGGGGAAGGGGACCAACAUUUGUUGAUCACCUACAAGGUGCUCAACAAUCUGCGAAGGACCCUCUGCGGAGGGGGGUCGCUAGCAUGCGAAUCCCUGUGUAGACCAGGAGAGGGCUCUUGCGGUGGGGAAGUUUGAGGGGCCCUCUCUGGAGAGCUGGGAGCUCCGGGGGUACCCCUUGUUUCCUGUAGCCCCAGGGUGAAGGGGCCGCUGGACAAAGACCUGACGGAGUGGGAGGGGCCUGCGGGCCGGCCCUCGGGCUCCGGACGCUGGAUCCUUCUGGGACCCGAACCCGCAAACCCUGGCUCCCCACCCCCAGGCCAGCAGACGCCCCCAAGCCGGCUGCUCGCUUUCGCUGCAGCCUCCGCACUAGUGGGGGCUGUGAGACGGUGCCCGUCGGCGGCCGGGCGGCGAUCCCCUGCUCUGCCUGCCCCUUCCCCCCGGGAAGUGACCCUCGGCUCCCACGCACCCGCUAGGGUCUCUCGCCAGCCCUGCCCUCCGACCCCCGCCGAGUUGAACCCCGCGACCCGCAGCCCCCGCCCUCUCGGCCCUCUCCGGCCCCGCGCCGGCGGACAAAGCUCCGGACACCCCGACCAAACGGUCACCUCCCCCGCCCCAUCCCGGCCCGCCCGCGGCCCCGUACCUCGGCAUCACGGCCGGGUCCUAGGUGAGUGUGCGCGGCCUGGGGCGCGUCCGGCCCGGGGACCGGGGCGGGGGCGCGGGCCGGGGACGACAGGCCUGGGCUGGGGGGCAGUGGCGCUCACCAUCCUGGAGCUGCUGCGCUGCGGCUGCUGCGGCCGCCGCGGGCGGGAGCCGGACUGGGCAGUGGGGUGGCCGGACAAGGGGCGGCCCCGGCUCCCCCGCAGGCAAGACCCCACCCCACCCCCCUCGCCCGCCCCCAGCGCCCUCCCUCGCAGGCCCUCGCUCCCCUCCCCUUUCCCUGCUCCUCCCUCUCCUAGUGCCCCUCUCUUCCCCCAACUCCCGCCCCUUCUCUGGCCCCUCCACCCCGGCUUCUUCCCCGCCCUCCCCACCUCGCCCCCGCCCCGCCCCCACCUCCCCUGGGCUCGCCCAGCCCUCCUCGCCACCCUCCCGGCUGGCCCCGCCCCCUCCCGCCCCUGGCUCUAA
Long non-coding RNA from Macaca fascicularis (crab-eating macaque), 1773 nucleotides. The record is from Ensembl. NCBI's taxonomy places the organism in Eukaryota, Metazoa, Chordata, Mammalia, Primates, Cercopithecidae.